This 380-nucleotide ribosomal RNA is filed under the name uncultured eukaryote. RNAcentral's name for it is "partial 18S ribosomal RNA". It matches the Rfam family "Eukaryotic small subunit ribosomal RNA", at positions 592 to 976 of the family's 1831-position model. The record is from RNAcentral.
CAAUAGCGUAUAUUAAAGUUGUUGCAGUUAAAAAGCUCGUAGUUGGAUUUGUGGCGUACGGUGUGUUCCGGGCACUUGUUGUCUGAGUAACCUGCUGUUGCCAUCCUUGGGUGGAACCUGUGUGGCAUUAGGUUGUCGUGCAGGGGAUGCCCAUCAUUUACUGUGAAAAAAUUAGAGUGUUCAAAGCAGGCUUAUGCCGUUGAAUAUAUUAGCAUGGAAUAAUGAGAUAGGACUUUCUUGCUAUUUUGUUGGUUUGCGCAAAGAGGUAAUGAUUAAUAGGGACAGUCGGGGGUAUUCGUAUUCCAUUGUCAGAGGUGAAAUUCUUGGAUUUUUGGAAGACGAACUACUGCGAAAGCAUUUACCAAGGAUGUUUUCAUUAA